AGUCGACGAUGAUCCAGCUUGCUGGGGGAUUAGUGGCGAACGGGUGAGUAACACGUGAGUAACCUGCCCUUGACUCUGGGAUAAGCCUGGGAAACUGGGUCUAAUACCGGAUACGACCAUCUGGCGCAUGUCAUGGUGGUGGAAAGCUUUUGUGGUUUUGGAUGGACUCGCGGCCUAUCAGCUUGUUGGUGGGGUAAUGGCCUACCAAGGCGACGACGGGUAGCCGGCCUGAGAGGGUGACCGGCCACACUGGGACUGAGACACGGCCCAGACUCCUACGGGAGGCAGCAGUGGGGAAUAUUGCACAAUGGGCGAAAGCCUGAUGCAGCGACGCCGCGUGAGGGAUGACGGCCUUCGGGUUGUAAACCUCUUUCAGUAGGGAAGAAGCGAAAGUGACGGUACCUGCAGAAGAAGCGCCGGCUAACUACGUGCCAGCAGCCGCGGUAAUACGUAGGGCGCAAGCGUUAUCCGGAAUUAUUGGGCGUAAAGAGCUCGUAGGCGGUUUGUCGCGUCUGCUGUGAAAGACCGGGGCUCAACUCCGGUUCUGCAGUGGGUACGGGCAGACUAGAGUGCAGUAGGGGAGACUGGAAUUCCUGGUGUAGCGGUGAAAUGCGCAGAUAUCAGGAGGAACACCGAUGGCGAAGGCAGGUCUCUGGGCUGUAACUGACGCUGAGGAGCGAAAGCAUGGGGAGCGAACAGGAUUAGAUACCCUGGUAGUCCAUGCCGUAAACGUUGGGCACUAGGUGUGGGGGACAUUCCACGUUUUCCGCGCCGUAGCUAACGCAUUAAGUGCCCCGCCUGGGGAGUACGGCCGCAAGGCUAAAACUCAAAGGAAUUGACGGGGGCCCGCACAAGCGGCGGAGCAUGCGGAUUAAUUCGAUGCAACGCGAAGAACCUUACCAAGGCUUGACAUGAACCGGAAAGACCUGGAAACAGGUGCCCCGCUUGCGGUCGGUUUACAGGUGGUGCAUGGUUGUCGUCAGCUCGUGUCGUGAGAUGUUGGGUUAAGUCCCGCAACGAGCGCAACCCUCGUUCUAUGUUGCCAGCGCGUUAUGGCCGGGGACUCAUAAGGAGACUGCCNGGGGUCAACUCCGAAGGAAGGUGGGGGACGACGUCAAAUCAUCA
This 1125-nucleotide ribosomal RNA is filed under the name Paenarthrobacter nitroguajacolicus. RNAcentral describes it as "bacterial SSU rRNA". It matches the Rfam family "Bacterial small subunit ribosomal RNA", at positions 60 to 1195 of the family's 1533-position model. The record is from RNAcentral. Lineage: Bacteria; Bacillati; Actinomycetota; Actinomycetes; Micrococcales; Micrococcaceae.